UUGUUAUGUAGGAUAAUCCUUAUCUAUUCCUCUUCUUUGAGGGCAGAUAGAACAUGAUGAUUGGAGUAAAAAUAAAGAAUGUGAAACUGUUUAAACUUGCAGUUUGGGUUAGUCUGAU
Lepus europaeus (European hare) is the source of this 118-nucleotide small nucleolar RNA. RefSeq annotates it as U8 small nucleolar RNA. The transcript has a single exon. NCBI's taxonomy places the organism in Eukaryota, Metazoa, Chordata, Mammalia, Lagomorpha, Leporidae. The record is from RefSeq and is a predicted model, not a curated record.